This 445-nucleotide ribosomal RNA is filed under the name uncultured bacterium. Its description in RNAcentral is "partial 16S ribosomal RNA". It matches the Rfam family "Bacterial small subunit ribosomal RNA", at positions 354 to 796 of the family's 1533-position model. The record is from RNAcentral.
GUGAGGAAUAUUGGGCAAUGGAGGCAACUCUGACCCAGCCAUGCCGCGUGCAGGAAGACGGUCCUAUGGAUUGUAAACUGCUUUUAUACGGGAAGAAACACCCCCUCGUGAGGGGACUUGACGGUACCGUAAGAAUAAGGAUCGGCUAACUCCGUGCCAGCAGCCGCGGUAAUACGGAGGAUCCAAGCGUUAUCCGGAAUCAUUGGGUUUAAAGGGUCCGUAGGCGGCCUUAUAAGUCAGUGGUGAAAUCUCCUAGCUCAACUAGGAAACUGCCAUUGAUACUGUAGGGCUUGAAUUAUUGUGAAGUAACUAGAAUAUGUAGUGUAGCGGUGAAAUGCUUAGAUAUUACAUGGAAUACCAAUUGCGAAGGCAGGUUACUAACAAUAUAUUGACGCUGAUGGACGAAAGCGUGGGUAGCGAACAGGAUUAGAAACCCCUGUAGUCC